Molecule: long non-coding RNA, 687 nt
Filed under: Penaeus japonicus
Lineage: Eukaryota; Metazoa; Arthropoda; Malacostraca; Decapoda; Penaeidae
Description: uncharacterized LOC122248609
Source: RNAcentral
GUCAACAUGCAGUUUUGUAGCCAGUUUGAAAAAUAUCACAACACUAGUCACCAUACAUAAUUUUAGUCAAAACUUUCAAUCCAAGAUAAGAUUAGAUAAGAUGAGUCAGCACUUAAAGCUGACAGAGGCCUUGUGCAUAUAGCCCGGGCGAAGCGUCGUCUUCGCAAAUCUGUCUGAACUGAACUGAUUUCAAUACAAGAAAAAUGCAUUUUCAUGUUUUGGUAACAAUGUACAGCACAGAGAUCGUUUCCUUGAGAAAUACAAUGCUGUUUCCUAAUUUACUCUACUCUGAUGAUAAUGCUCCAUGUAGUAAGGUAUCUCAGGGGAUCAUCUCAGGUCAGUACUACAGGCCUAAAUGGAGCUGCUGACACCUGUCCUUAACCCAUUCGCGACGGAUGAUGUGCUGACACGUUUUGUGGUUUUUGCGUCAGACGCCGGUGAAGAAAAAAUAUCUGGGCAAGGCCAGCGCUUGGGUGAGCCGGGUGGCGAGCAGGCAGCCCAGGCUCGCGGCUUGUGCACCCGAGACCCUUGAGGCGUUAGGCUUAUACGUUCAAAAACCCCGGCAUUACAACCAUUCAAAGCCGGAAUCGCCCCGGUGUGAAUGGGUUAUGGGGUUAAUAUAUUUUGUUUUCUAUCCUUUUCUAGACUUAUGAUAUGAUAAACAAAUCUAUUUUUAAUAUAUUAGCA